This 404-nucleotide ribosomal RNA is filed under the name Acidobacteriota bacterium. Its description in RNAcentral is "Acidobacteria bacterium partial 16S ribosomal RNA". It matches the Rfam family "Bacterial small subunit ribosomal RNA", at positions 355 to 776 of the family's 1533-position model. Lineage: Bacteria; Pseudomonadati; Acidobacteriota. The record is from RNAcentral.
UGGGGAAUCUUGCGCAAUGGGCGAAAGCCUGACGCAGCCAUGCCGCGUGAAUGAUGAAGGUCUUAGGAUUGUAAAAUUCUUUCACCGGGGACGAUAAUGACGGUACCCGGAGAAGAAGCCCCGGCUAACUUCGUGCCAGCAGCCGCGGUAAUACGAAGGGGGCUAGCGUUGCUCGGAAUUACUGGGCGUAAAGGGCGCGUAGGCGGAUCGUUAAGUCAGGGGUGAAAUCCCAGGGCUCAACCCUGGAACUGCCUUUGAUACUGGCGAUCUUGAGUAUGAGAGAGGUAUGUGGAACUCCGAGUGUAGAGGUGAAAUUCGUAGAUAUUCGGAAGAACACCAGUGGCGAAGGCGACAUACUGGCUCAUUACUGACGCUGAGGCGCGAAAGCGUGGGGAGCAAACAGG